Molecule: long non-coding RNA, 2154 nt
Organism: Gorilla gorilla gorilla (western lowland gorilla)
Lineage: Eukaryota; Metazoa; Chordata; Mammalia; Primates; Hominidae
Exons: 3
Source: RefSeq, a predicted model, not a curated record
GAGACCUCCUCGCAGGGGGUGGUGGGCCCAUGGACCCCGAUCAGCAGCAUGUUGGAGCCUAGGAGGCAAAAGGUGGUUACUCCACCCAGAUGCAUCAGGACAGGCACAGGAAGAAGAGGAAAUAUGAGAGCCAAAGGAAAGGAAGCAGAGGCACAGUGAAGUCAGAUAAUUCAUCUGGAGUCACACAGCUGGGGACCAGCAGAACUGGGAUUUAAACAUAAAGUCUGUCUAACUUGGAGCUAAAGCACUUACCUGAGAGAAGAUGGAAGGAAAAAAAAUCCACAAGCAGAAGUCUCUCACCACUGCCUCUAGCUAUAACCUGUAUCUGACACCACAAAACAUCUCUGGGCACGGCGGUAUUCCCCCACCCCCUCAAAUAUGUCCAGCUCAGUUCCUGUGAGUUUAAUGCAUAUUAAAAACGCAGCACUGCUUGUUCUUCAAGGCAGUUAAGGAAGGAGGCCCUUCUGGUAUACCCCGAGCACACUGGGGUUCCUGCAUCAUUUCAUUAGGAAAAUUGCUCAGCGGCUCCAAAGAAUCUGGAGCUCCCUGGUCUAUCUCCCAGCCUCUCAAGCCUCCUCCAGCAGGGUCCCGCCCCAAAUUCUCCACAUUCCCCUACUCCAAAAUCUACAGAAUGGACCAUUUAAAGCUUGAGCCAAGAGAUACAGCAAACUCACCCAUUAAAAACAGAGGGAGGUUUGCUUUGUUCAGAAGGUCAGGAUACUGGGCGCUCUGGCGGCCAAGCACAGAUACCUUUUCAUUCCAUGCACACUGCAGCUGUGUAAUCUCAGAAUGGAUAUUUAGGGAAAGGCUUGGGAGCAGGAGGGCUGGAAAAACAAGGCGCCUUCCCUGUGACAAGAGCAAUAUUUACACAGGGUUUUAAGCAGGCGGUUCUGUACCUCUCCCCUCCUGGCUGGGAGCUUCCCUGCAAGAGCAACUCCUUCUCUCAGCAGCGUCCAGCACUUGCAGAGCACAGCCUGAAACCCAAGCUCCCAAAAAGGUGUGCGAACAGCCAAAAGGAAAUGGGAGAGGGCCCAGGCACAGCGGCAUGAGCCAGCAGGAGGGUGAGAUGCUUCCUGGCCAGUGUGGGAGACCCCAGCAGCUGCUGUGAGGCCUGGCCUGAAGCCUGCCACGCGCUCCAAGUGCCUAGAGGACCCCACCUGGGCCCUCAAAGCCUCCAUAACAGUGACGCACUCACUGCGCACCACCCGAUGCCACCUGUUCAAAUAACUGCGAUUCACAGCAGGAAUUCUCACUACAGCCAGGAAAAGGAGGGGAAGAUCUGUUCUGACAUGGAAAGAUCUUUAAGAUGUCAAAGCAAAAACACAAGCUAUACCACACAGUGGAUACAGUAAGAUUCUUUCUGUAAGACAAAAGCAAAACUCUGUGUCUGCUUGUCUAAUGAACCAAUUAGCUAACCAACCCAGCAACCAAGAAUGAAGACAGACAAUGAGAUGACAGACAGGGUGAAGGUCCUCCCUUCCCAGAGCCGUUUGCUUCUGGACCCAGGUGGGGGAGGAGGAGAGAAGAUGGAGUGAGUCUCACUUUAUUUUCUUCUUCACUGCCUGUAUCUUUCAUAAUCAAACAUGUCCCAUCUGUGGCAAAGAAUAAAAAUAAAUUGUAAUGGGUCCAAAAAGCUUCAGAAUUCUUUGAACAUUUCAGUCUUUUCUCCUCCUCCAUUAAGAUCUGAGAGUAAAAAGAGGAGGAGAUAGGCUGGGACAGGUCUUAUUGCUGCUUCAGUGCAUUUCUGGGAGCCCGGUACCAUGAAAGAACAGAUGGGUAGGAGCCCACUUGGACGCAUCAUGAAUUCUGUGCAGGCAAAGAAACCCUCAAAAUUAAUGACACUGUGCUGUGUUCCCUGACUAUCAGCAUCCUGUUCUGAAAGUCAAGAAACUUGGCAGAGGAAGGAAUCUGAAUCACAACUAACAGUAAUGAGGUGUGAUAACACGGCCAUCGAGCUCUCACUCUGGAUUUAUCGCGGGUCAAACCGCAACUCCCAAAACAGCUUUGGACAGCAAGCGCCUCCGAAGUGUGCAUGACCCCAGUUUCCACGGGGAGUGCAUGUAAAAAGCUUCCAUGGGGCUUGAGGAUUUCCAUCUGGCUUGGUCCCUGGAGCUGGUUCAGUUAAGGCUUCAAGAAGCAGAGGAGUGGGUUACC